ACGAUGAAGAGUUUGAUCCUGGCUCAGGAUGAACGCUAGCGGCAGGCUUAACACAUGCAAGUCGAGGGGUAACGGGGAAGCUUGCUUCCGCCGACGACCGGCGCACGGGUGCGUAACGCGUAUACAAUCUACCUUGUACUGGGGUAUAGCCUUUAGAAAUGAAGAUUAACCCCCCAUAGUCUCUUAGAGUGGCAUCACUUCUAGAGUAAAGGUUACGGUAUAAGAUGAGUAUGCGUUCUAUUAGUUUGUUGGUGUGGUAACGGCACACCAAGACUACGAUAGAUAGGGGCCCUGAGAGGGGGAUCCCCCACACUGGUACUGAGACACGGACCAGACUCCUACGGGAGGCAGCAGUGAGGAAUAUUGGACAAUGGAGGCAACUCUGAUCCAGCCAUGCCGCGUGCAGGAAGACUGCCCUAUGGGUUGUAAACUGCUUUUAUACAGGAAGAAACACCUCUACGUGUAGAGGCUUGACGGUACUGUAAGAAUAAGGAUCGGCUAACUCCGUGCCAGCAGCCGCGGUAAUACGGAGGAUCCAAGCGUUAUCCGGAAUCAUUGGGUUUAAAGGGUCCGUAGGUGGAUAAUUAAGUCAGAGGUGAAAUCUUGCAGCUCAACUGUAAAAUUGCCUUUGAAACUGGUUAUCUUGAGUUAUUAUGAAGUAGUUAGAAUAUGUAGUGUAGCGGUGAAAUGCAUAGAUAUUACAUAGAAUACCAAUUGCGAAGGCAGAUUACUAAUAAUCAACUGACACUGAUGGACGAAAGCGUGGGUAGCGAACAGGAUUAGAUACCCUGGUAGUCCACGCCGUAAACGAUGGUUACUAGCUGUUUGGACUUCGGUCUGAGUGGCUAAGCGAAAGUGAUAAGUAACCCACCUGGGGAGUACGUUCGCAAGAAUGAAACUCAAAGGAAUUGACGGGGGCCCGCACAAGCGGUGGAGCAUGUGGUUUAAUUCGAUGAUACGCGAGGAACCUUACCAGGGCUUAAAUGUAAGUUGCAUUAGUUAGAGAUAGCUAUUUCUUCGGACCACUUACAAGGUGCUGCAUGGUUGUCGUCAGCUCGUGCCGUGAGGUGUCAGGUUAAGUCCUAUAACGAGCGCAACCCCUGUUGUUAGUUGCCAGCGAGUCAUGUCGGGAACUCUAGCAAGACUGCCAGUGCAAACUGUGAGGAAGGUGGGGAUGACGUCAAAUCAUCACGGCCCUUACGUCCUGGGCUACACACGUGCUACAAUGGUAGGUACAGAGAGCAGCCACUGCGCGAGCAGGAGCGAAUCUAUAAAACCUAUCACAGUUCGGAUCGGAGUCUGCAACUCGACUCCGUGAAGCUGGAAUCGCUAGUAAUCGGAUAUCAGCCAUGAUCCGGUGAAUACGUUCCCGGGCCUUGUACACACCGCCCGUCAAGCCAUGGAAGUUGGAAGUGCCUGAAGUCCGUCACCGUAAGGAGCGGCCUAGGGUAAAGUCGAUAACUAGGGCUAAGUCGUAACAAGGUAGCCGUACCGGAAGGUGCGGCUGGAACACCUCCUUU
This 1520-nucleotide ribosomal RNA is filed under the name Flavobacteriaceae bacterium. Its description in RNAcentral is "bacterial SSU rRNA". It matches the Rfam family "Bacterial small subunit ribosomal RNA". The record is from RNAcentral. Lineage: Bacteria; Pseudomonadati; Bacteroidota; Flavobacteriia; Flavobacteriales; Flavobacteriaceae.